UGGGGAAUAUUGCACAAUGGGCGCAAGCCUGAUGCAGCCAUGCCGCGUGUGUGAAGAAGGCCUUCGGGUUGUAAAGCACUUUCAGCGAGGAGGAAGGUGGUGAGCUUAAUACGCUCAUCAAUUGACGUUACUCGCAGAAGAAGCACCGGCUAACUCCGUGCCAGCAGCCGCGGUAAUACGGAGGGUGCAAGCGUUAAUCGGAAUUACUGGGCGUAAAGCGCACGCAGGCGGUUUGUUAAGUCAGAUGUGAAAUCCCCGGGCUCAACCUGGGAGCUGCAUUUGAAACUGGCAAGCUAGAGUCUCGUAGAGGGGGGUAGAAUUCCAGGUGUAGCGGUGAAAUGCGUAGAGAUCUGGAGGAAUACCGGUGGCGAAGGCGGCCCCCUGGACGAAGACUGACGCUCAGGUGCGAAAAGCGUGGGGAGCAAAACAGGAUUAGAUACCCUGGUAGUCCACGCUGUAAAACGAUGUCGAUUUUGGAGGUUGUGCCCUUGAGGCGUGGCUUCCGGAGCUAACGCGUUAAAUCGGCCGCCUGGGGAGUACGCCGCAAGAUU
RNAcentral lists this ribosomal RNA (551 nucleotides) under uncultured bacterium. Its description in RNAcentral is "partial 16S ribosomal RNA". It matches the Rfam family "Bacterial small subunit ribosomal RNA", at positions 355 to 895 of the family's 1533-position model. The record is from RNAcentral.